GAGUUAGUGGUCUAGUGUAUGAUUCUCGCUUCGUGUGCGAGAGGUCCGGGGUUCGAUUCCCCACUAGCCCC
This 71-nucleotide transfer RNA is filed under the name Trichuris muris. RNAcentral's name for it is "snRNA TMUE_0100000227". It matches the Rfam family "tRNA". Rfam says of the family: Transfer RNA (tRNA) molecules are approximately 80 nucleotides in length. Their secondary structure includes four short double-helical elements and three loops (D, anti-codon, and T loops). Further hydrogen bonds mediate the characteristic L-shaped molecular structure. tRNAs have two regions of fundamental functional importance: the anti-codon, which is responsible for specific mRNA codon recognition, and the 3' end, to which the tRNAs corresponding amino acid is attached (by aminoacyl-tRNA synthetases). tRNAs cope with the degeneracy of the genetic code in two manners: having more than one tRNA (with a specific anti-codon) for a particular amino acid; and 'wobble' base-pairing, i.e. permitting non-standard base-pairing at the 3rd anti-codon position. Lineage: Eukaryota; Metazoa; Nematoda; Enoplea; Trichinellida; Trichuridae. The record is from RNAcentral.